GACGAACGCUGGCGGCGUGCUUAACACAUGCAAGUCGAACGAUGAAGGAGAGCUUGCUCUCCGGAUUAGUGGCGAACGGGUGAGUAACACGCGACUAACCUGCCCCUUUCUCUGGGAUAACGCUCCGAAAGGAGUGCUAAUACCGGAUACGAACUCUGAACACAUGUUCGGAGUUGGAAAGUUUUUCGGAAAGGGAUGGAGUCGCGGCCUACCAGCUUGUUGGUGAGGUAAUGGCUCACCAAGGCGACGACGGGUAGCCGGCCUGAGAGGGCGACCGGCCACACUGGGACUGAGACACGGCCCAGACUCCUACGGGAGGCAGCAGUGGGGAAUAUUGCACAAUGGGCGAAAGCCUGAUGCAGCGACGCCGCGUGAGGGAUGAAGGUCUUCGGAUUGUAAACCUCUUUCAGUAGGGACGAAGCGAAAGUGACGGUACCUAAAGAAGAAGCACCGGCUAACUACGUGCCAGCCGCCGUAACAC
This 481-nucleotide ribosomal RNA is filed under the name uncultured bacterium. RNAcentral describes it as "partial 16S ribosomal RNA". It matches the Rfam family "Bacterial small subunit ribosomal RNA", at positions 28 to 526 of the family's 1533-position model. The record is from RNAcentral.